RNAcentral lists this ribosomal RNA (421 nucleotides) under uncultured bacterium. Its description in RNAcentral is "partial 16S ribosomal RNA". It matches the Rfam family "Bacterial small subunit ribosomal RNA", at positions 363 to 776 of the family's 1533-position model. The record is from RNAcentral.
UUUUGACAAUGGGCGCAAGCCUGAUCCAGCCAUGCCGCGUGAGUGAAGAAGGCCGUCGGGUUGUAAAGCUCUUUCGGACGGAAAGAAAUCUCGCAGGCUAAUACCGUGCUCGUAUGACGGUAGCGUCAUCAGAACCACCGACUGACUACGUGCGAGCAGCCGCGGUAAUACGUAGGGUGCGAGCGUUAAUCGGAAUUACUGGGCGUAAAGCGUGCGCAGGCGGUUGAUUAAGACAGGCGUGAAAUCCCCGGGCUUAACCUGGGGACUGCGCUUGUGACUGGUCAGCUAGAGUACGGCAGAGGGGGGUGGAAUUCCACGUGUAGCAGUGAAAUGCGUAGAGAUGUGGAGGAACACCGAUGGCGAAGGCAGCCCCCUGGGCCGAUACUGACGCUCAUGCACGAAAGCGUGGGUAGCAAACAGG